Molecule: long non-coding RNA, 586 nt
Organism: Triticum dicoccoides
Lineage: Eukaryota; Viridiplantae; Streptophyta; Magnoliopsida; Poales; Poaceae
Exons: 3
Source: RefSeq, a predicted model, not a curated record
GAAGAGAGCAACAAGGUAUCCAGCUGAUGAUGAUGCCUCGGCACCAGAACCUGAAGUGGCAGCCCCACAACUUGAAGUUGUUGUGACUCCCAAUAGGGACAUGAUCACUAUGCCACUUAGUCUUCAAGGCAGUCCAAUCCAGUGACAAGAAGGAUGUUGGCUACGACGUUGGCUGAUGAGGCAACACAUGCAGCACCACAACUUGAAGUUGUUGUGACUCCCAAUAGGCACAUGAUCACUAUGCCACCGAAUCUUCAAGGCAGUCCCAAUCCCGUGACUAGAAGGAUGUUGGCUAUGGCAUUGGCUGAUGAGGCAUGGCAGCAACCUACCCCAACUGUGAAGGACACCACGAUGGCAUAUGACAUGGCCUCAACCUCGAAAGCUAGGAAGUUGACCCCGAAGAGAAGGAAGAUCUAGUGUUGUGCAUCAUCUUCUAUGUUCUCUAUGCUUUUGGUUGUAAUAUGUCAGACUUGGCACGCAUUACUUUGUGUGCAACAUGGCACCAAUUAUUGCCUUAUGUUUUUGGUUGUAAUAUGCCAGACUUGGCAGCCCCUACUAAUUUGUGCAACAUCACAGCCUUAUGUUA